This 499-nucleotide ribosomal RNA is filed under the name uncultured bacterium. RNAcentral's name for it is "partial 16S ribosomal RNA". It matches the Rfam family "Bacterial small subunit ribosomal RNA", at positions 30 to 523 of the family's 1533-position model. The record is from RNAcentral.
AUUGAACGCUGGCGGCAUGCCUUACGCAUGCAAGUCGAACGGCAGCGGGGACUUCGGUCCGCCGGCGAGUGGCGAACGGGUGAGUAAUGUAUCGGAACGUACCAUUGAGUGGGGGAUAACGUAGCGAAAGUUACGCUAAUACCGCAUAUUCUCUCCGGAGGAAAGCAGGGGACCGCAAGGCCUUGCGCUCUUUGAGCGGCCGAUAUCAGAUUAGCUAGUUGGUGAGGUAAUGGCUCACCAAGGCGACGAUCUGUAGCGGGUCUGAGAGGAUGAUCCGCCACACUGGAACUGAGACACGGUCCAGACUCCUACGGGAGGCAGCAGUGGGAAUUUUGGACAAUGGGGGCAACCCUGAUCCAGCCAUGCCGCGUGAGUGAAGAAGGCCUUCGGGUUGUAAAGCUCUUUCGGCCGGGAAAAAAUCGCAUGGGCUAAUACCCUGUGUGGAUGAUGGUACCGGAAUAAGAAGCACCGGCUAACUACGUGCCAGCCGCCGCCGUAA